This 476-nucleotide ribosomal RNA is filed under the name uncultured bacterium. RNAcentral's name for it is "bacterial SSU rRNA". It matches the Rfam family "Bacterial small subunit ribosomal RNA", at positions 21 to 507 of the family's 1533-position model. The record is from RNAcentral.
GGCUCAGGAUGAACGCUAGCGACAGGCUUAACACAUGCAAGUCGAGGGCAGCAUGAACAUAGCUUGCUAUGUUUGAUGGCGACCGGCGCACGGGUGCGUAACACGUAUCCAAUCUGCCCGUUACUCGGGGAUAGCCUUCUGAAAGGAAGAUUAAUACCCGAUAGUAUCCAUUAGCGGCAUCGCCUAUGGAUUAAAGAUUUAUCGGUAACGGAUGAGGAUGCGUACGAUUAGCUAGUUGGUGAGGUAACGGCUCACCAAGGCGACGAUCAGUAGCCGACCUGAGAGGGUGACCGGCCACAUUGGGACUGAGACACGGCCCAAACUCCUACGGGAGGCAGCAGUGGGGAAUAUUGGACAAUGGGCGCAAGCCUGAUCCAGCGACGCCGCGUGAGUGAGGAAGUAUUUCGGUAUGUAAAGCUCUAUCAGCAGGGAAGAAAAUGACGGUACCUGACUAAGAAGCCCCGGCUAACUACGUG